This 309-nucleotide long non-coding RNA is filed under the name Zea mays. Its description in RNAcentral is "long non-coding RNA (ZMAY_LNC002713)". The record is from RNAcentral. Lineage: Eukaryota; Viridiplantae; Streptophyta; Magnoliopsida; Poales; Poaceae.
UCUGAUUCCUCAGAUGAUGAGGAUGAAGACAACUCUGGUGAGGAAGCCGACAAUGGGAAUGUGAAUGAUGUGGAGAAAGGUGAAACCGCUCCAUCUGAGAAGCAACAGGAGGUGCUUGAUACCUCUAAUACCGCAAGCAAGGACAAUACUGCUCUAUCUGAGAAGAAAGAGGAGGUGCUUGAUACCUCUGAUACCGUGAGUAAGGACAAUGAGGAACAAGCAGUCACUGCUGAUGAACCAAGAGAAAAGAAGCAACGAGUGGAAGAUCCUCCAGUUUUUGAGCAGGCCGUGCAAAAAGAGACUGCUGAU